RNAcentral lists this ribosomal RNA (114 nucleotides) under uncultured bacterium. RNAcentral describes it as "partial 16S ribosomal RNA". The record is from RNAcentral.
UGGGGAAUCUUGGACAAUGGGCGAAAGCCUGAUCCGGCAAUAUGGCGUGAGUGAAGAGGGCAACGCAGCUUGUAAAGCUCUUUCAUCGAGUGUGCGAUUGUGACAAGACUCGAA